RNAcentral lists this ribosomal RNA (465 nucleotides) under uncultured bacterium. RNAcentral describes it as "bacterial SSU rRNA". It matches the Rfam family "Bacterial small subunit ribosomal RNA", at positions 28 to 526 of the family's 1533-position model. The record is from RNAcentral.
GAUGAACGCUGGCGGCGUGCCUAAUACAUGCAAGUCGUGCGGCAGCAUGCCCUUCGGGGUGAUGGCGAGCGGCGAACGGCUGAGUAACGCGUAGGAAUAUACCCCAAAGUGAGGGAUAACUGCCCGAAAGGGUAGCUAAUACCGCAUGUGGUCUUCGGAUUAAAGCUUUAUGCGCUUUGGGAAUAGCCUGCGUUCGAUUAGUUUGUUGGUGAGGUAAUGGCUCACCAAGGCGACGAUCGAUAGCUGGUCUGAGAGGAUGAUCAGCCAGACUGGAACUGAGACACGGUCCAGACUCCUACGGGAGGCAGCAGUAAGGAAUCUUCCACAAUGGGCGAAAGCCUGAUGGAGCAACGCCGCGUGCAGGAUGAAGGCCUUCGGGUUGUAAACUGCUUUUAUUAGCGAAGAAUAUGACGGUAACUAAUGAAUAAGGAUCGGCUAACUCCGUGCCAGCCGCCGCCGUAACAC